GUGCCAGCAGCCGCGGUAAUACGUAGGGUGCGAGCGUUGUCCGGAUUUAUUGGGCGUAAAGAGCUCGUAGGCGGUCUGUCGCGUCGACGUGUGAAACUCGGGCUCACCCCGAGCUUGCAGUUGAUACGGGCAGGCUAGAGUUCGGUAGGGGAGACUGGAAUUCCUGGUGUAGCGGUGAAAUGCGCAGAUAUCAGGAGGAACACCGGUGGCGAAGGCGGGUCUCUGGGCCGAUACUGACGCUGAGGAGCGAAAGCGUGGGGAGCGAACAGGAUUAGAUACCCUGGUAGUCC
This 290-nucleotide ribosomal RNA is filed under the name uncultured microorganism. RNAcentral's name for it is "partial 16S ribosomal RNA". It matches the Rfam family "Bacterial small subunit ribosomal RNA", at positions 505 to 796 of the family's 1533-position model. The record is from RNAcentral.